AGCAGCUCUUCAUACUCCCGGUCUUGUGAAUGUUCCAACUGUUGUUUUCCCUGUAUUGAGCAAUGGAUGAGUCAGGAUCACAAGAGAUCUGAUAGAGGUUUAGAAAGUCAACUUUUAGAAGACAAUUCCCUAGCCAUUUAUCUUUCCAGAAUUUGAUGAGUGUCCCAUUUCCUGCAGAAAAGUAGGCAUUCUGAUAAAAAUCAUCCCAGAGUCUGCUAAUGUAUUUCCAAGGUCCAACUCCAUGUGAGGCUCGGGAGAUUUUUGUACACCAAUGAUUUUGGGCUCCAUGCUUAGCUGUGACUAUCUCUUUCCAAAGUGUUUGGCUUUCCUGAGAGUAUCUCCAUAACCACUUCAAUAGUAAACUUUGGUUAUGUGCAACCAGAUUUUUUAUGCUCAGUCCACCUUGUAUCUUAGGCAUUGUGCAUUUAGACCAUUUUACAAGGUGGAAUUUGUGUUCCUUAUUGUUCCCUUCCCCACAAAAAAUUCCUCCUGAUUUUGUCCAGCAAUCUCAGUACCUUGCUAGGCAUAGGGAAUAAUGACAUAAUAUAUUUUGGAAUGUUGUCUAGAGUGUUGUUAAUGAAAGUAAGUCUACCCCCCAUUGAGAGGUACUGCAUCUGCCAGGAGGAUAGCCUUUUCUCAAACUUUUCUAUCACACUGCCCCAAUUGCAAGUAGCUCUAAACUUGGCACCCAAUGGAAGUCCUAGAUAUGUUGUUGGGAAGGAGCCAGUGUUGCAGCACAAAAGUUCUGCUAACUCUGCCAAAUUUGGGACGUCAUUGACAGGGUAUAUAACACUUUUGAGCAUGUUGAUAUGAAGUCCAGAUAAAGCUUCAAAGAUUAGUAGGGCAAUAUUAAGGUAAAGCACUUGUCUUGAUUCAGCCCCACAAAAAACUAAGGUAUCAUCAGCAUACAAAAGGUGCGAGACAUUGACUGAGUUUGCUCCUAUGCUGCCAACAUCAAAACCAUUGAUCCAUUGUUGUUCUUUGGCUUUAUCUAACAUUUUGCUAAGACCUUCCAUGGCUAGAAUAAAGAGAAAGGGUGAUAAUGGAUCACCUUGCCUUAGGCCUCUCUGAGGGGAGAAGAAGCCCACUGGACUCCUAUUAACCAGCACCGAGUAUUUAACUGUUGUGACACUGAAUUUGAUCCAUCUAAUCCACCUGUCUCCAAAUCCCAUCUUCUUUAGCAUAGCAAUGAGGUAUGACCAAUUGAGUUGAUCAAAUUGCCUUCUCUAUAUCCAGUUUGCAUAGGAUGCCUGGUUCCUCACUUUUCAUCCUCCAAUCUAGGACUUCAUUUGCAAUUAGGAUUGCAUCAGUAAUUUGUCUAUUUUUUAUGAAAGCAUUCUGAUGGUUAGAAACCAGCUUCCCCAUGACUCUUUUUAGCCUCUCUGCCAGAACUUUGGCUGCAAUCUUGUAUACACUGCCAAUUAAGCUAAUUGGUCUAAAAUCCUUUAGUUCAAUUGCUCCUUUUUUCUUUGGGAUUAGAGCUAUGAAAGAAGCAUUUGUGCACCUUACCAUGUAGCAGUGUUGAUGGAAGUGAUCAAGUGCAUCCAUUACAUCAGUUUUAAUGAACUCCCAAGCCUUCUGGAAGAAUGCCAUAGUGUAGCCGUCAGGACCAGGGGCCUUGUCUGGAGCACAUGACUUAAUUACUGCUAGGACCUCUUCCUCUUUAAAUGCCAGCUCAAGAUCUGUUUUCUCCUCUUCUGAAAUGCUUGCUAAACCUUCAAAUUCAGCAAAAGGUCUCCAGCUCUCCUGUUCAGUGUAUAGUUUCUCAUAGAAUUUCAGAAUUUCCCUUUUGAUAGAGUCUUUGUCUUGAAUAAUCUCUGGACCUACUUUGAGUUUGUCAAUGCAGUUGUUCCUCCUAUGAGAGUUAGCCAUCUUUUGAAAAUAUUUUGUGCUCCUGUCCCCCUCCUUCAACCACAAACACCUGGAUUUUUGCCUCCAUGAGAUCUCCUCAGCCUUUAUCAGUUGCUGAUAUUCCUGUUGUAGAGCUAACAUCAGUGAUUUCUCUGCUGUGGAAAGUGGUCUACGUUCGGCAAUUUUUUCAAUAGCAAGGUGUUCGUCUAAGAUUUUGUCCUUUCUCACCUCUAGUUUGCCAAAAACCUCCUUGUUCCAAUGUAUGAUGUCCUUCUUGAGAUUCUUUAGCUUCUGAACAAGUAUGAAAUCUGGACUACCACUAAUUAUAUAACUCUGCCACCAGGCCUUCACUUUGUCAAGAAACCCCUCAGCCUGGAGCCACAUGUUUUCAAACUUGAAGUAUGAGGUUGUUGCCUCCCAGUCACCAUUCUCGAGCAAAAUAGGUCUAUGAUCAGAAAUAAACUUUGGUAAGGCCAACUUGCUUAACAAUUUUGAAGCUGUCAUUCCACUCUGUUGAAAUUAAAAAUCUGUCUAUCCUUGAUGCUUGUGUGUGAUUCUCUCCCCUGGACCAAGUAUACUGAGCACCAUGUAAUGACAAGUCAAUGAUACAUAAGUCUUGGAUCAGUUCUGAGAAGUCUUUCAUUGCUUUUGUUCUUCUUACACAAUUGAGCCUUUCACUUUCAAACCUGCAUACAUUGAAAUCACCCCCUAAUACCCAAUGACCAUCCCAGAUUCCCCUUAUUCCAGCAAUUUCAUGCCAUUUCUUCUCUCUUAGGACUGGUAUGAGGGCCAUAUAUGCCAGUGAAUCACCAUCUGAAGUCCUCCUGAAGGGACUCCAUCAAACAUGAGAUGGAGAAUGUACCCACCUGGAUAUCCAUACAUUGCCACUGCCUUUUGUCCCACAACACUAUAAUUCCCCCCUUUGUGCCACAAGACUUUAGUUCAGCCAACCAAUCCACCUAUUUCCCCAUAUCUGAUGCAAGAGAUUAGCUGACCAUUCUUCUAUUUUGGUUUCCUGUAAACAAACUAAGUCUGCCUUCCAUAUGUGUAAAAGAGAUUUGAGUGUGCUCCUUUUAUUGCUGUCGUUCAGACCCCCGGCAUUCCAACUCAAAAUUUUUACUUUCAUCCUGAAAAGGAUUUGUAGUACCUACCCCUGCUUCCACUUGCCUGUUUUCCUUUCCCGUCAUAAUUGAUCCCACAUAUUAAUCUUUCCUGUUCCACCUCCCCUUUGCUUUUGAAAUCUUUUCCCGACUUGUGGCAUGGCUUCUGCUGCUGCCGUUGUUGUUGUUGCCUUCUCUGCUCCAUUCGCAAAAUUAUGUCAAGCAAUUCAUGCUCAAACCCAGUAACAUUAACCCCAAAAACCUUGCAUGCUUUGGCCAUAGUGAACUUUGACCACUUGGACUGCUCAAUUAAGGUUGGGGUAUGUACCAAUUGCUUUGAAGAAUUCUCAUUGUACCAAGGAAGAGGGAGAGCAUCACUCAGAGAGUAAGUAGAGAAUUCGGUAUCUGAGCUAUUGACCUGAGAAGGUUCAAUCCUUAGAGUUGGUUGGCAAGGAAGAUAGAGAGGAAAAUGGUUACACGAUGACAACCAAGGUAUCUGAGCUAUUGACCUGAGAAGGUU
RNAcentral lists this long non-coding RNA (3471 nucleotides) under Nicotiana benthamiana. RNAcentral's name for it is "long non-coding RNA (NBEN_LNC010720)". Lineage: Eukaryota; Viridiplantae; Streptophyta; Magnoliopsida; Solanales; Solanaceae. The record is from RNAcentral.